This 446-nucleotide ribosomal RNA is filed under the name uncultured bacterium. Its description in RNAcentral is "bacterial SSU rRNA". It matches the Rfam family "Bacterial small subunit ribosomal RNA", at positions 28 to 507 of the family's 1533-position model. The record is from RNAcentral.
CACGGAAUUAGCCGAUGAACGCUGGCGGCGUGCUUAACACAUGCAAGUCGAACGAACCUUCGGGUUAGUGGCGGACGGGUGAGUAAUGCGUGAGAAUCUGCCCUCAGGAGGGGGAUAACGGUUGGAAACGGCCGCUAAUACCCCAUAUGCCGCGAGGUGAAAUGAAUUUCGCCUGAGGAUGAGCUCGCGUCUGAUUAGCUAGUUGGUGUAGGUAAUGGCUCACCAAGGCAUCGAUCAGUAGCUGGUCUGAGAGGAUGAUCAGCCACACUGGGACUGAGACACGGCCCAGACUCCUACGGGAGGCAGCAGUGGGGAAUUUUCCGCAAUGGGCGAAAGCCUGACGGAGCAACGCCGCGUGAGGGAUGAAGGCCUCUGGGCUGUAAACCUCUUUUAUCAAGGAAGAAGAUCUGACGGUACUUGAUGAAUAAGCCACGGCUAAUUCCGUG